This 368-nucleotide ribosomal RNA is filed under the name uncultured bacterium. RNAcentral's name for it is "bacterial SSU rRNA". It matches the Rfam family "Bacterial small subunit ribosomal RNA", at positions 49 to 398 of the family's 1533-position model. The record is from RNAcentral.
UUACACAUGCAAGCUCGAGCGAGAAAAGGGGGCUUCGGCCCCUGUCUACAGCGGCGAAAGGGUGCGUAAUACAUGAGCAAUCUAUCCUUGAGGCGGGAAUAACUCCCCGAAAGUUGGGCUAAUACCGGAUAAGACCACAAGAGGAAACUCUCGAGGUCAAAGACUGCUCUCUUUUGGGGGCAGUCCUUCGAGGAGGAGCUCAUGUCCUAUCAGCUAGUUGGUAGGGUAAUGGCCUACCAAGGCGAACACGGGUAGCUGGUCUUAGAGGAUGAUCAGCCACACGGGGACUGAGACACGGCCCCGACUCCUACGGGAGGCAGCAGUGGGGAAUAUUGGGCAAUGGGCCGAAAGGCUGACCCACCGACCCC